This 168-nucleotide ribosomal RNA is filed under the name uncultured Bifidobacterium sp. RNAcentral's name for it is "partial 16S ribosomal RNA". It matches the Rfam family "Bacterial small subunit ribosomal RNA", at positions 355 to 534 of the family's 1533-position model. The record is from RNAcentral. Lineage: Bacteria; Bacillati; Actinomycetota; Actinomycetes; Bifidobacteriales; Bifidobacteriaceae.
UGGGGAAUAUUGCACAAUGGGCGCAAGCCUGAUGCAGCGACGCCGCGUGCGGGAUGGAGGCCUUCGGGUUGUAAACCGCUUUUGUCGGGGAGCAAGCCUUCGGGUGAGUGUACCCUUCGAAUAAGCACCGGCUAACUACGUGCCAGCAGCCGCGGUAAUACGUAGGUG